Molecule: ribosomal RNA, 497 nt
Filed under: uncultured bacterium
Lineage: Bacteria
Description: partial 16S ribosomal RNA
Rfam family: Bacterial small subunit ribosomal RNA
Source: RNAcentral
GAUGAACGCUGGCGGCGUGCCUAAUACAUGCAAGUCGAGCGAACAGACGAGGAGCUUGCUCCUCUGACGUUAGCGGCGGACGGGUGAGUAACACGUGGAUAACCUACCUAUAAGACUGGGAUAACUUCGGGAAACCGGAGCUAAUACCGGAUAACAUGUUGAACCGCAUGGUUCAACAGUGCAAGACGGUCUUGCUGUCACUUAUAGAUGGAUCCGCGCCGCAUUAGCUAGUUGGUAAGGUAACGGCUUACCAAGGCAACGAUGCGUAGCCGACCUGAGAGGGUGAUCGGCCACACUGGAACUGAGACACGGUCCAGACUCCUACGGGAGGCAGCAGUAGGGAAUCUUCCGCAAUGGGCGAAAGCCUGACGGAGCAACGCCGCGUGAGUGAUGAAGGUCUUCGGAUCGUAAAACUCUGUUAUUAGGGAAGAACAAAUGUGUAAGUAACUCUGCACGUCUUGACGGUACCUAAUCAGAAAGCCACGGCUAACUACGUG